GUUCUUUUGACAGCCGUGAGCUUCCCCGGCAGGAACUUACUGGGGCUGCAUCACCCUAGAAACAUGGCUUUGGGCUGUGGAAACGCUGCUGCCGUGGAAGUCUCUCCUCGCGGGGGUGGACGGGGCGCUGCGCGCCCAGCGUCCUUCUGCGGUUCUCCCAGCCCGUCGCCGCCUCCACCUCGGGGACCUUUGCGGGGAGGCCUCGGGUACCAGUCAGGACUGGUAGACUUUAAUGUGGAGAACUUCUGAAAUAGCAGUUCUCAAAAUGUUAUCUCCAGACACACAGAAUCUGCAUCACCCAGGAACUUGUAACCAUGCAAAUUCUCAGCCACCCAGACUUCCUACAUCAGAACCUCUGGGGCCCAGCAGCCUGUGUUUUAACAAGCCCUUCAGGCUGGAGUAUACUGGCAUGAUCAUAGAUCACUGCAGCCUCAAACUCCUGGGCUCAAGCGAUCCUCCUACCUCAGCCUCCAUAUAGCUGGUGGGAACCAAGUUUCUAACACAUGAAUGUUGGGAGACACAUUCAGACCAUCGCAGUGGCCUUAUAAAAAGAGACACAAGAGCUUGCUCUCUGCCAUGUGAGUAUACCACAAGAAGACUGUCCUCAGCAAAUCAGAAAGCGGGUGGACCCUCAUCAGACACCAGAUGUGCCUGCACCUUGAUCUUGGACUUGCCAGCCUUCAGAACAGUAAGAAAGAAAUGUGUGUUGUUUAAGCCACCCAGUCUAUGGUAACUUGCUAUAGCAGCCCACUAGGAGACCCCAAGAUAUUUAAAAACUCAUCAGCACCUGCUUUCUGCAUCUGGACCCUGAUCUUCUGGUGGGUUUACCAGUUACUUGUAGAGUGUCCCUGUGAUAGUUUUAGGUGUCAACUUGACAUGAUUGAGGGAUGCCUAGAUGGCUGGGGAAGCACUGUUUCUGAAAAGGACCAUGUUUUUGGAGGAGACUGUUUUAUGAGUGAAUUUUGGGGGACACAUUCAGAUCAUGGCAGUGGCAUUAUAAAGAGAGACACAAAAGCUUGCUCUCUCUGCCAUGUGAGACUACCACACAAAGACUGCCAUCUGCAAACCAGAAGCAGGUGGGCUUUCCUCAGACACCAGAUCUGCCUGCACCUUGAUCUUGGACUUGCCAGCCUUCAGAACUCUAAGAAAGAAAUAGUAGCAUGGCUUGGUCUAAGUUGGAAGGCCUGAGAAACAAGCACAUGGUGGAACUGAGUUCAAGGAUAAAGACUUGAGAAUACCUGCUCAGUGGACUGAGUAGGGAAGAUCAACCCUCAAUGUAGGCAAGCACUAUCCAAUCACCUGAGGGCCCAGAUGGAACAAAAAGGUGGAAGAAGGGUGAAUUCUCUCUUCCAGAGCUGUGACACCCUUCUCCUCAUGCCCUUGUACCACACAACUCUAGGUCCUUUGGCCUUUGGACUCUGACACUUGCACCAGUGGCCCUCUGGGGCUCUCAAGCCUUUAGCCUUGAACUUAGUUACACCAUGUGCUUCCUUGUUUCUCAGGCCUUCCAACUUGGAUCAGGCCAUGCCACCAGCUUCUCUGAUUCUCCAGCUUGCAGAUGGCAUAUUGUGACCCUGGCAUUUAAUAACUAUGACUUUGGUCUUAAGCAGUUUUCUUCCUCUGUGGAUUGAUAUUUAGAUAUCAAGGUGGAUAAUAAUUUCUUACCAAGGUAACUGUUGUGAGGUAAAAAUGAGUUAACAUAAGUAAAACCGAGCACAUGCAAACCAUCCGAAAUGGUUAAUACUUACUAUUUGUACUUGAAGAAAUAAAUGUUUUUGACAAUAAACUUCUUGUGCAGUUUUCCUCA
This 1807-nucleotide long non-coding RNA is filed under the name Pan troglodytes (chimpanzee). RNAcentral's name for it is "lincRNA". Lineage: Eukaryota; Metazoa; Chordata; Mammalia; Primates; Hominidae. The record is from RNAcentral.